ACUCAAAUGAAUUGACGGGGGCCCGCACAAGCGGUGGAGCAUGUGGUUUAAUUCGACGCAACGCGAAGAACCUUACCCGGGCUUGAACUACUGGUAGUAGUCCUCUGGAAACAGAGGGCGAUCCGCAAGGAAGCCAGCAGAGGUGCUGCAUGGUUGUCGUCAGCUCGUGUCGUGAGAUGUUGGGUUAAGUCCCGCAACGAGCGCAACCCCUACUCGAUGUUGCCACUCCCGCAAGGGAAGCACUCUUCGAGAACUGCCUUCGAUAAGAAGGAGGAAGGUGGGGACGACGUCAAAUCCUCAUGGCCCUUAUGUCCGGGGCCACACACGUGCUACAAUGGUCGGUACAACGGGAAGCAAUACCGCAAGGUGGAGCCAACCCCUAAAAGCCGGCCCCAGUUCAGAUCGUGGGCUGCAACUCGCCCACGUGAAGGUGGAAUCGCUAGUAAUCGCGAAUCAGCAGGUCGCGGUGAAUACGUUCCCGGGCCUUGUACACACCGCCCGU
This 502-nucleotide ribosomal RNA is filed under the name uncultured bacterium. RNAcentral describes it as "partial 16S ribosomal RNA". It matches the Rfam family "Bacterial small subunit ribosomal RNA", at positions 899 to 1397 of the family's 1533-position model. The record is from RNAcentral.